Molecule: ribosomal RNA, 2932 nt
Filed under: Klebsiella aerogenes
Lineage: Bacteria; Pseudomonadati; Pseudomonadota; Gammaproteobacteria; Enterobacterales; Enterobacteriaceae
Description: bacterial LSU rRNA
Rfam family: Bacterial large subunit ribosomal RNA
Source: RNAcentral
GGGUUGUGAGGUUAAGCGACUAAGCGUACACGGUGGAUGCCCUGGCAGUCAGAGGCGAUGAAGGACGUGCUAAUCUGCGAAAAGCGUCGGUAAGGUGAUAUGAACCGUUAUAACCGGCGAUGUCCGAAUGGGGAAACCCAGUGCAAUUCGUUGCACUAUCGUUAACUGAAUACAUAGGUUAACGAGGCGAACCGGGGGAACUGAAACAUCUAAGUACCCCGAGGAAAAGAAAUCAACCGAGAUUCCCCCAGUAGCGGCGAGCGAACGGGGAGCAGCCCAGAGUCUGAAUCAGCUUGUGUGUUAGUGGAACGGUCUGGAAAGUCCGACGGUACAGGGUGAUAGUCCCGUACACCAAAAUGCACAGGCUGUGAACUCGAAGAGUAGGGCGGGACACGUGGUAUCCUGUCUGAAUAUGGGGGGACCAUCCUCCAAGGCUAAAUACUCCUGACUGACCGAUAGUGAACCAGUACCGUGAGGGAAAGGCGAAAAGAACCCCGGCGAGGGGAGUGAAAAAGAACCUGAAACCGUGUACGUACAAGCAGUGGGAGCACCUUCGGGUGUGACUGCGUACCUUUUGUAUAAUGGGUCAGCGACUUAUAUUCUGUAGCAAGGUUAACCGUAUAGGGGAGCCGCAGGGAAACCGAGUCUUAACUGGGCGUUAAGUUGCAGGGUAUAGACCCGAAACCCGGUGAUCUAGCCAUGGGCAGGUUGAAGGUUGGGUAACACUAACUGGAGGACCGAACCGACUAAUGUUGAAAAAUUAGCGGAUGACUUGUGGCUGGGGGUGAAAGGCCAAUCAAACCGGGAGAUAGCUGGUUCUCCCCGAAAGCUAUUUAGGUAGCGCCUCGUGAACUCAUCUUCGGGGGUAGAGCACUGUUUCGGCUAGGGGGUCAUCCCGACUUACCAACCCGAUGCAAACUACGAAUACCGAAGAAUGUUAUCACGGGAGACACACGGCGGGUGCUAACGUCCGUCGUGAAGAGGGAAACAACCCAGACCGCCAGCUAAGGUCCCAAAGUCACAGUUAAGUGGGAAACGAUGUGGGAAGGCACAGACAGCCAGGAUGUUGGCUUAGAAGCAGCCAUCAUUUAAAGAAAGCGUAAUAGCUCACUGGUCGAGUCGGCCUGCGCGGAAGAUGUAACGGGGCUAAACUGUGCACCGAAGCUGCGGCAGCGACACUAUGUGUUGUUGGGUAGGGGAGCGUUCUGUAAGCCUGCGAAGGUGGCCUGUGAGGGUUGCUGGAGGUAUCAGAAGUGCGAAUGCUGACAUAAGUAACGAUAAUGCGGGUGAAAAGCCCGCACGCCGGAAGACCAAGGGUUCCUGUCCAACGUUAAUCGGGGCAGGGUGAGUCGACCCCUAAGGCGAGGCCGAAAGGCGUAGUCGAUGGGAAACAGGUUAAUAUUCCUGUACUUGGUGUUACUGCGAAGGGGGGACGGAGAAGGCUAUGUUAGCCGGGCGACGGUUGUCCCGGUUUAAGCAUGUAGGCGGAGGUUCCAGGUAAAUCCGGUACCUUUUUAACGCUGAGGUGUGAUGACGAGGCACUACGGUGCUGAAGUAACAAAUGCCCUGCUUCCAGGAAAAGCCUCUAAGCAUCAGGUAACAUUGAAUCGUACCCCAAACCGACACAGGUGGUCAGGUAGAGAAUACCAAGGCGCUUGAGAGAACUCGGGUGAAGGAACUAGGCAAAAUGGUGCCGUAACUUCGGGAGAAGGCACGCUGAUAUGUAGGUGAAGCCCCUGCGGGUGGAGCUGAAAUCAGUCGAAGAUACCAGCUGGCUGCAACUGUUUAUUAAAAACACAGCACUGUGCAAACACGAAAGUGGACGUAUACGGUGUGACGCCUGCCCGGUGCCGGAAGGUUAAUUGAUGGGGUUAUCCGUAAGGAGAAGCUCUUGAUCGAAGCCCCGGUAAACGGCGGCCGUAACUAUAACGGUCCUAAGGUAGCGAAAUUCCUUGUCGGGUAAGUUCCGACCUGCACGAAUGGCGUAAUGAUGGCCAGGCUGUCUCCACCCGAGACUCAGUGAAAUUGAACUCGCUGUGAAGAUGCAGUGUACCCGCGGCAAGACGGAAAGACCCCGUGAACCUUUACUAUAGCUUGACACUGAACAUUGAGCCUUGAUGUGUAGGAUAGGUGGGAGGCUUUGAAGCGUGGACGCCAGUCUGCGUGGAGCCAACCUUGAAAUACCACCCUUUAAUGUUUGAUGUUCUAACGUUGGCCCCUGAUCGGGGUUGCGGACAGUGUCUGGUGGGUAGUUUGACUGGGGCGGUCUCCUCCCAAAGAGUAACGGAGGAGCACGAAGGUUAGCUAAUCCUGGUCGGACAUCAGGAGGUUAGUGCAAUGGCAUAAGCUAGCUUGACUGCGAGCGUGACGGCGCGAGCAGGUGCGAAAGCAGGUCAUAGUGAUCCGGUGGUUCUGAAUGGAAGGGCCAUCGCUCAACGGAUAAAAGGUACUCCGGGGAUAACAGGCUGAUACCGCCCAAGAGUUCAUAUCGACGGCGGUGUUUGGCACCUCGAUGUCGGCUCAUCACAUCCUGGGGCUGAAGUAGGUCCCAAGGGUAUGGCUGUUCGCCAUUUAAAGUGGUACGCGAGCUGGGUUUAGAACGUCGUGAGACAGUUCGGUCCCUAUCUGCCGUGGGCGCUGGAGAAUUGAGGGGGGCUGCUCCUAGUACGAGAGGACCGGAGUGGACGCAUCACUGGUGUUCGGGUUGUCAUGCCAAUGGCAUUGCCCGGUAGCUAAAUGCGGAAGAGAUAAGUGCUGAAAGCAUCUAAGCACGAAACUUGCCCCGAGAUGAGUUCUCCCUGAGACUUUAAGUCUCCUGAAGGAACGUUAAAGACGAUGACGUUGAUAGGUCGGGUGUGUAAGCGUAGCGAUACGUUGAGCUAACCGAUACUAAUGAACCGUGAGGCUUAACCUUACAACGCCGAAGGUGUUU